This 213-nucleotide ribosomal RNA is filed under the name uncultured Clostridium sp. Its description in RNAcentral is "partial 16S ribosomal RNA". It matches the Rfam family "Bacterial small subunit ribosomal RNA", at positions 1059 to 1271 of the family's 1533-position model. Lineage: Bacteria; Bacillati; Bacillota; Clostridia; Eubacteriales; Clostridiaceae. The record is from RNAcentral.
CUCGUGUCGUGAGAUGUUGGGUUAAGUCCCGCAACGAGCGCAACCCCUAUCCUUAGUAGCCAGCACGUAAUGGUGGGAACUCUGAGGAAACUGCCAGGGAUAACCUGGAGGAAGGCGGGAAUGACGUCAAAUCAUCAUGCCCCUUAUGAUUUGGGCUACACACGUGCUACAAUGGCCUAAACAAAGGGAAGCAAACCCGCGAGGGGGGGCAAA